UACGAAGGGGGCGAGCGUUGUUCGGAUUUACUGGGCGUAAAGGGCGCGCAGGCGGUCCUGUUUGUCGAGUGUGAAAGCCCCGGGCUCAACCUGGGAAUGGCGCUCGAAACGGCGGGACUAGAGAUCGGGAGAGGAGCGUGGAAUUCCCAGUGUAGAGGUGAAAUUCGUAGAUAUUGGGAAGAACACCGGUGGCGAAGGCGGCGCUCUGGACCGAGACUGACGCUGAGGCGCGAAAGCUAGGGGAGCAAACGGG
RNAcentral lists this ribosomal RNA (253 nucleotides) under uncultured bacterium. RNAcentral's name for it is "partial 16S ribosomal RNA". It matches the Rfam family "Bacterial small subunit ribosomal RNA", at positions 524 to 776 of the family's 1533-position model. The record is from RNAcentral.